UGGGGAAUCUUCCGCAAUGGACGAAAGUCUGACGGAGCAACGCCGCGUGAGUGAUGACGGUCUUCGGAUUGUAAAGCUCUGUUAAUCGGGACGAAUGGUUUGUGUGCAAAUAGUGCAUAGACAUGACGGUACCGGAAUAGAAAGCCACGGCUAACUACGUGCCAGCAGCCGCUGUAAUACGUAGGUGGCAAGCGUUGUCCGGAAUUAUUGGGCGUAAAGCGCGCGCAGGCGGACUAGCCAGUCAGUCUUAAAAGUUCGGGGCUUAACCCCGAGAUGGGAUUGAAACUACGAGUCUAGAGUAUCGGAGAGGAAAGUGGAAUUCCUAGUGUAGCGGUGAAAUGCGUAGAUAUUAGGAAGAACACCAGUGGCGAAGGCGACUUUCUGGACGAACACUGACGCUGAGGCGCGAAAGCCAGGGGAGCGAACGGG
Molecule: ribosomal RNA, 429 nt
Filed under: Verrucomicrobiota bacterium
Lineage: Bacteria; Pseudomonadati; Verrucomicrobiota
Description: Verrucomicrobia bacterium partial 16S ribosomal RNA
Rfam family: Bacterial small subunit ribosomal RNA
Source: RNAcentral